Molecule: ribosomal RNA, 269 nt
Filed under: uncultured prokaryote
Description: partial 16S ribosomal RNA
Rfam family: Bacterial small subunit ribosomal RNA
Source: RNAcentral
UACGGAGGGAGCUAGCGUUGUUCGGAAUUACUGGGCGUAAAGCGCGCGUAGGCGGCUAUUCAAGUCAGAGGUGAAAGCCCGGGGCUCAACUCCGGAACUGCCUUUGAAACUAGAUAGCUAGAAUCCAGGAGAGGUGAGUGGAAUUCCGAGUGUAGAGGUGAAAUUCGUAGAUAUUCGGAAGAACACCAGUGGCGAAGGCGACUCACUGGACUGGUAUUGACGCUGAGGUGCGAAAGCGUGGGGAGCAAACAGGAUUAGAUACCCGCGUA